Molecule: ribosomal RNA, 253 nt
Filed under: uncultured bacterium
Lineage: Bacteria
Description: partial 16S ribosomal RNA
Rfam family: Bacterial small subunit ribosomal RNA
Source: RNAcentral
UACAGAGGUCCCGAGCGUUGUUCGGAUUCACUGGGCGUAAAGGGUGCGUAGGUGGUGAGGUAAGUCGGAUGUGAAAUCUCCGAGCUCAACUCGGAAAUGGCAUUGGAAACUACCUUGCUCGAGGGUUGGAGGGGGGACUGGAAUACUUGGUGUAGCAGUGAAAUGCGCAGAUAUCAGGAAGAACACCCGUGGCGAAGGCGGCUCUCUGGGACGGUACUGACGCUGAGACGCGAAAGCGUGGGGAGCGAACAGG